This 253-nucleotide ribosomal RNA is filed under the name uncultured bacterium. Its description in RNAcentral is "partial 16S ribosomal RNA". It matches the Rfam family "Bacterial small subunit ribosomal RNA", at positions 524 to 776 of the family's 1533-position model. The record is from RNAcentral.
UACGUAGGUGGCAAGCGUUGUCCGGAUUUACUGGGUGUAAAGGGCGUGUAGCCGGGCUGACAAGUCAGAUGUGAAAUCCGGGGGCUCAACCCCCGAACUGCAUUUGAAACUGUUGGUCUUGAGUAUCGGAGGGGCAGGCGGAAUUCCUAGUGUAGCGGUGAAAUGCGUAGAUAUUAGGAGGAACACCAGUGGCGAAAGCGGCUCUCUGGCCUGUAACUGACACUGAGGCUCGAAAGCGUGGGGAGCAAACAGG